GUGAGCUUCUCCCUCUAUAAAUUGACAUUAUCAACAUCCUUUUGUUUUCACCGCCAGACAUCUUGUUUCCUCUCGCCAAAGAACCCUUCUCCUGCUCUGUGCAAGUUCUGGUGAGUGAUGUGCUGUGAACUGUGAAGAAUAUGCCUGGCUACAAACCUUCUUUGCUGAUAGAGUAUUCUCAGUCAUUUCGUUUUGUUAAGCUUAGCUCAUUCUCUACCAUAUUACAUGAUUUAUGUGUCGCGGAUUUUGAAUUCAGUAGCAACAUGAGUAAAGCUCGCAAGGAGCUAAUUUAUGCUUUGAGAUCAGACGUCUCCUUUUCUAAGAACAGUAGGUUCCCUGAUGAUGGUAUGUACGUUUGUGUCGACAAACCGCAGUUGUUUGCGCAAGUGGCGAAAGUGAUACGGGUGCUUGCGACCCCUUGCAGUCUGCUAACUGCCGCGGCCAUUAAUGACUAUUUUUCUGCGUUAGCUCGCAUGCAUGAGCUGAUCCAUUCACAAGAGGGCGAAGAUCGUGUAGUCUUCUCUAGGGAAACUUUUGAGAAUGAGUUUCUGUUGUUAUGGUGGGAUCAUUGAUUGUAAAUUUGUAGUGUUGUUGGCGAUGAUCUACUGUGUUAUCUUUAAGAAGUUUACCUCUAUAAUGACCUGUUCUUGAGUGUGAUACUCUUUGCUGUUCUUGCUUUGAUUUAUUUCGAAAACUAGAGAUUGAUGGGGAAAUUCAUGUACAAUAUCAAGUCACGACUUGUUUUUUUCACACAACUUUCCUUUGGCUCUAUCUAUGUCUUCCCUUUUCUGAA
Molecule: non-coding RNA, 793 nt
Organism: Corylus avellana
Lineage: Eukaryota; Viridiplantae; Streptophyta; Magnoliopsida; Fagales; Betulaceae
Source: RefSeq, a predicted model, not a curated record